CACGUAGGGCGCAAGCGUUGUCCGGAAUUAUUGGGCGUAAAGAGCUCGUAGGCGGUCUGUUACGUCUGCUGUGAAAACCCAGGGCUUAACCCUGGGCUUGCAGUGGAUACGGGCAGACUAGAGGCAGGUAGGGGAGAAUGGAAUUCCCGGUGUAGCGGUGAAAUGCGCAGAUAUCGGGAGGAACACCGGUGGCGAAGGCGGCUCUCUGGAACGGUACUGACGCUGAGACGCGAAAGCGUGGGGAGCGAACAGG
RNAcentral lists this ribosomal RNA (253 nucleotides) under uncultured bacterium. Its description in RNAcentral is "partial 16S ribosomal RNA". It matches the Rfam family "Bacterial small subunit ribosomal RNA", at positions 524 to 776 of the family's 1533-position model. The record is from RNAcentral.